CAGCCGCCGCGGUAAAACCAGCACCUCAAGUGGUCAGGAUGAUUAUUGGGCCUAAAGCAUCCGUAGCCGGCUCUGUAAGUUUUCGGUUAAAUCUGUACGCUUAACGUACAGGCUGCCGGGAAUACUGCAAAGCCAGAGAGUGGGAGAAGUAGACGGUACUCGGUAGGAAGUGGUAAAAUGCUUUGAUCUAUCGAUGACCACCUGUGGCGAAGGCGGUCUACUAGAACACGUCCGACGGUGAGGGAUGAAAGCUGGGGGAGCAAACCGGAUUAGAUACCCGGGUAGUCCCAGCUGUAAACUAUGCAAACUCAGUGAUGCAUUGGCUUGUGGCCAAUGCAGUGCUGCGGGGAAGCCGUUAAGUUUGCCGCCUGGGAAGUACGUACGCAAGUAUGAAACUUAAAGGAAUUGGCGGGGGAGCAC
RNAcentral lists this ribosomal RNA (420 nucleotides) under uncultured Nitrososphaerota archaeon. Its description in RNAcentral is "bacterial SSU rRNA". It matches the Rfam family "Archaeal small subunit ribosomal RNA", at positions 459 to 879 of the family's 1478-position model. Lineage: Archaea; Thermoproteati; Nitrososphaerota. The record is from RNAcentral.